GGUUAAGCGACUAAGCGUACACGGUGGAUGCCCUGGCAGUCAGAGGCGAUGAAGGACGUGCUAAUCUGCGAUAAGCGUCGGUAAGGUGAUAUGAACCGUUAUAACCGGCGAUUUCCGAAUGGGGAAACCCAGUGUGAUUCGUCACACUAUCAUUAACUGAAUCCAUAGGUUAAUGAGGCGAACCGGGGGAACUGAAACAUCUAAGUACCCCGAGGAAAAGAAAUCAACCGAGAUUCCCCCAGUAGCGGCGAGCGAACGGGGAGCAGCCCAGAGCCUGAAUCAGUGUGUGUGUUAGUGGAAGCGUCUGGAAAGGCGUGCGAUACAGGGUGACAGCCCCGUACACAAAAAUGCACAUGCUGUGAGCUCGAUGAGUAGGGCGGGACACGUGGUAUCCUGUCUGAAUAUGGGGGGACCAUCCUCCAAGGCUAAAUACUCCUGACUGACCGAUAGUGAACCAGUACCGUGAGGGAAAGGCGAAAAGAACCCCGGCGAGGGGAGUGAAAAAGAACCUGAAACCGUGUACGUACAAGCAGUGGGAGCACAGAGCAAUCUGUGUGACUGCGUACCUUUUGUAUAAUGGGUCAGCGACUUAUAUUCUGUAGCAAGGUUAACCGAAUAGGGGAGCCGAAGGGAAACCGAGUCUUAACUGGGCGUUAAGUUGCAGGGUAUAGACCCGAAACCCGGUGAUCUAGCCAUGGGCAGGUUGAAGGUUGGGUAACACUAACUGGAGGACCGAACCGACUAAUGUUGAAAAAUUAGCGGAUGACUUGUGGCUGGGGGUGAAAGGCCAAUCAAACCGGGAGAUAGCUGGUUCUCCCCGAAAGCUAUUUAGGUAGCGCCUCGUGAAUUCAUCUCCGGGGGUAGAGCACUGUUUCGGCAAGGGGGUCAUCCCGACUUACCAACCCGAUGCAAACUGCGAAUACCGGAGAAUGUUAUCACGGGAGACACACGGCGGGUGCUAACGUCCGUCGUGAAGAGGGAAACAACCCAGACCGCCAGCUAAGGUCCCAAAGUCAUGGUUAAGUGGGAAACGAUGUGGGAAGGCCCAGACAGCCAGGAUGUUGGCUUAGAAGCAGCCAUCAUUUAAAGAAAGCGUAAUAGCUCACUGGUCGAGUCGGCCUGCGCGGAAGAUGUAACGGGGCUAAACCAUGCACCGAAGCUGCGGCAGCGACGCUUAUGCGUUGUUGGGUAGGGGAGCGUUCUGUAAGCCUGCGAAGGUGUGCUGUGAGGCAUGCUGGAGGUAUCAGAAGUGCGAAUGCUGACAUAAGUAACGAUAAAGCGGGUGAAAAGCCCGCUCGCCGGAAGACCAAGGGUUCCUGUCCAACGUUAAUCGGGGCAGGGUGAGUCGACCCCUAAGGCGAGGCCGAAAGGCGUAGUCGAUGGGAAACAGGUUAAUAUUCCUGUACUUGGUGUUACUGCGAAGGGGGGACGGAGAAGGCUAUGUUGGCCGGGCGACGGUUGUCCCGGUUUAAGCGUGUAGGCUGGUUUUCCAGGCAAAUCCGGAAAACUAAGGCUGAGGCGUGAUGACGAGGCACUACGGUGCUGAAGCAACAAAUGCCCUGCUUCCAGGAAAAGCCUCUAAGCAUCAGGUAACAUCAAAUCGUACCCCAAACCGACACAGGUGGUCAGGUAGAGAAUACCAAGGCGCUUGAGAGAACUCGGGUGAAGGAACUAGGCAAAAUGGUGCCGUAACUUCGGGAGAAGGCACGCUGAUAUGUAGGUGAAGUCCCUCGCGGAUGGAGCUGAAAUCAGUCGAAGAUACCAGCUGGCUGCAACUGUUUAUUAAAAACACAGCACUGUGCAAACACGAAAGUGGACGUAUACGGUGUGACGCCUGCCCGGUGCCGGAAGGUUAAUUGAUGGGGUCAGCGCAAGCGAAGCUCUUGAUCGAAGCCCCGGUAAACGGCGGCCGUAACUAUAACGGUCCUAAGGUAGCGAAAUUCCUUGUCGGGUAAGUUCCGACCUGCACGAAUGGCGUAAUGAUGGCCAGGCUGUCUCCACCCGAGACUCAGUGAAAUUGAACUCGCUGUGAAGAUGCAGUGUACCCGCGGCAAGACGGAAAGACCCCGUGAACCUUUACUAUAGCUUGACACUGAACAUUGAGCCUUGAUGUGUAGGAUAGGUGGGAGGCUUUGAAGUGUGGACGCCAGUCUGCAUGGAGCCGACCUUGAAAUACCACCCUUUAAUGUUUGAUGUUCUAACGUUGACCCGUGAUCCGGGUUGCGGACAGUGUCUGGUGGGUAGUUUGACUGGGGCGGUCUCCUCCUAAAGAGUAACGGAGGAGCACGAAGGUUGGCUAAUCCUGGUCGGACAUCAGGAGGUUAGUGCAAUGGCAUAAGCCAGCUUGACUGCGAGCGUGACGGCGCGAGCAGGUGCGAAAGCAGGUCAUAGUGAUCCGGUGGUUCUGAAUGGAAGGGCCAUCGCUCAACGGAUAAAAGGUACUCCGGGGAUAACAGGCUGAUACCGCCCAAGAGUUCAUAUCGACGGCGGUGUUUGGCACCUCGAUGUCGGCUCAUCACAUCCUGGGGCUGAAGUAGGUCCCAAGGGUAUGGCUGUUCGCCAUUUAAAGUGGUACGCGAGCUGGGUUUAGAACGUCGUGAGACAGUUCGGUCCCUAUCUGCCGUGGGCGCUGGAGAACUGAGGGGGGCUGCUCCUAGUACGAGAGGACCGGAGUGGACGCAUCACUGGUGUUCGGGUUGUCAUGCCAAUGGCACUGCCCGGUAGCUAAAUGCGGAAGAGAUAAGUGCUGAAAGCAUCUAAGCACGAAACUUGCCCCGAGAUGAGUUCUCCCUGACUCCUUGAGAGUCCUGAAGGAACGUUGAAGACGACGACGUUGAUAGGCCGGGUGUGUAAGCGCAGCGAUGCGUUGAGCUAACCGGUACUAAUGAACCGUGAGGCUUAACCUU
Molecule: ribosomal RNA, 2906 nt
Filed under: Escherichia coli
Lineage: Bacteria; Pseudomonadati; Pseudomonadota; Gammaproteobacteria; Enterobacterales; Enterobacteriaceae
Description: 23S ribosomal RNA
Rfam family: Bacterial large subunit ribosomal RNA
Source: RNAcentral